UGCGAUGAGAUGCCCAAUUCUAUGUAAGGUGCUUUCGAAGAGUCGAGUUGUUUGGGAAUGCAGCUCUAAGUGGGUGGUAAAUUCCAUCUAAAGCUAAAUAUUGGCGAGAGACCGAUAGCGAACAAGUACAGUGAUGGAAAGAUGAAAAGAACUUUGAAAAGAGAGUGAAAAAGUACGUGAAAUUGUUGAAAGGGAAGGGUUUGAGAUCAGACUCGAUAUUUUGUGAGCCUUGCCUUCGUGGCGGGGUGACCCGCAGCUUAUCGGGCCAGCAUCGGUUUGGGCGGUAGGAUAAUGGCGUAGGAAUGUGACUUUACUUCGGUGAAGUGUUAUAGCCUGCGUUGAUGCUGCCUGCCUAGACCGAGGACUGCGAUUUUAUCAAGGAUGCUGGCAUAAUGAUCCCAA
RNAcentral lists this ribosomal RNA (402 nucleotides) under Meyerozyma guilliermondii. Its description in RNAcentral is "LSU rRNA". It matches the Rfam family "Eukaryotic large subunit ribosomal RNA", at positions 224 to 643 of the family's 3401-position model. Lineage: Eukaryota; Fungi; Ascomycota; Pichiomycetes; Serinales; Debaryomycetaceae. The record is from RNAcentral.